This 640-nucleotide ribosomal RNA is filed under the name uncultured archaeon. RNAcentral's name for it is "bacterial SSU rRNA". It matches the Rfam family "Archaeal small subunit ribosomal RNA", at positions 219 to 859 of the family's 1478-position model. The record is from RNAcentral.
GGCCGAUUAGGUAGUUGGUUAGGUAACGGCUUACCAAGCCAUUGAUCGGUACGGGUUGUGAGAGCAAGAGCCCGGAGAUGGAACCUGAGACAAGGUUCCAGGCCCUACGGGGUGCAGCAGGCGCGAAACCUCCGCAAUGUGAGAAAUCGCGACGGGGGGAUCCCAAGUGCCAUUCUUAACGGGAUGGCUUUUCAUUAGUGUAAAGAGCUUUUGGAAUAAGGGCUGGGCAAGACCGGUGCCAGCCGCCGCGGUAACACCGGCAGCUCUAGUGGUAGCAGUUUUUAUUGGGCCUAAAGCGUCCGUAGCCGGUUUAAUAAGUCUCUGGUGAAAUCCUGUAGCUUAACUGUGGGAAUUGCUGGAGAUACUAUUAGACUUGAGACCGGGAGAGGUUAGAGGUACUCCCAGGGUAGAGGUGAAAUUCUGUAAUCCUGGGAGGACCGCCUGUUGCGAAGGCGUCUAACUGGAACGGUUCUGACGGUGAGGGACGAAAGUUAGGGGCGCGAACCGGAUUAGAUACCCGGGUAGUCCUAACUGUAAACGAUGCGGACUUGGUGUUGGGGUGGCUUUGAGCUGCUCCAGUGCCGAAGGGAAGCUGUUAAGUCCGCCGCCUGGGAAGUACGGUCGCAAGACUGAAACUUAA